Molecule: ribosomal RNA, 800 nt
Filed under: Halomonas sp. Mg61
Lineage: Bacteria; Pseudomonadati; Pseudomonadota; Gammaproteobacteria; Oceanospirillales; Halomonadaceae
Description: bacterial SSU rRNA
Rfam family: Bacterial small subunit ribosomal RNA
Source: RNAcentral
CAGCUUGCUGGAUGCUGACGAGCGGCGGACGGGUGAGUAACGCAUAGGAAUUUACCCGGUAGUGGGGGAUAACCUGGGGAAACUCAGGCUAAUACCGCAUACGUCCUACGGGAGAAAGGGGGCUUUGGCUCCCGCUAUCGGAUGAGCCUAUGCCGGAUUAGCUGGUUGGUGAGGUAAUGGCUCACCAAGGCGACGAUCCGUAGCUGGUCUGAGAGGAUGAUCAGCCACAUCGGGACUGAGACACGGCCCGAACUCCUACGGGAGGCAGCAGUGGGGAAUAUUGGACAAUGGGGGCAACCCUGAUCCAGCCAUGCCGCGUGUGUGAAGAAGGCCCUCGGGUUGUAAAGCACUUUCAGCGAGGAAGAACGCCUGGUGGUUAAUACCCGCCAGGAAAGACAUCACUCGCAGAAGAAGCACCGGCUAACUCCGUGCCAGCAGCCGCGGUAAUACGGAGGGUGCAAGCGUUAAUCGGAAUUACUGGGCGUAAAGCGCGCGUAGGUGGCUUGAUAAGCCGGUUGUGAAAGCCCCGGGCUCAACCUGGGAACGGCAUCCGGAACUAUGAGGCUAGAGUGCAGGAGAGGAAGGUAGAAUUCCCGGUGUAGCGGUGAAAUGCGUAGAGAUCGGGAGGAAUACCAGUGGCGAAGGCGGCCUUCUGGACUGACACUGACACUGAGGUGCGAAAGCGUGGGUAGCAAACAGGAUUAGAUACCCUGGUAGUCCACGCCGUAAACGAUGUCGACCAGCCGUUGGGUGCCUAGCGCACUUUGUGGCGAAGUUAACGCGAUAAGUCGACCGCCUGG